This 1080-nucleotide ribosomal RNA is filed under the name Bacillus licheniformis. RNAcentral describes it as "bacterial SSU rRNA". The record is from RNAcentral. Lineage: Bacteria; Bacillati; Bacillota; Bacilli; Caryophanales; Bacillaceae.
CAUGCAGUCGAGCGGACCGACGGGAGCUUGCUCCCUUAGGUCAGCGGCGGACGGGUGAGUAACACGUGGGUAACCUGCCUGUAAGACUGGGAUAACUCCGGGAAACCGGGGCUAAUACCGGAUGCUUGAUUGAACCGCAUGGUUCAAUCAUAAAAGGUGGCUUUUAGCUACCACUURCAGAUGGACCCGCGGCGCAUUAGCUAGUUGGUGAGGUAACGGCUCACCAAGGCGACGAUGCGUAGCCGACCUGAGAGGGUGAUCGGCCACACUGGGACUGAGACACGGCCCAGACUCCUACGGGAGGCAGCAGUAGGGAAUCUUCCGCAAUGGACGAAAGUCUGACGGAGCAACGCCGCGUGAGUGAUGAAGGUUUUCGGAUCGUAAAACUCUGUUGUUAGGGAAGAACAAGUACCGUUCGAAUAGGGCGGUACCUUGACGGUACCUAACCAGAAAGCCACGGCUAACUACGUGCCAGCAGCCGCGGUAAUACGUAGGUGGCAAGCGUUGUCCGGAAUUAUUGGGCGUAAAGCGCGCGCAGGCGGUUUCUUAAGUCUGAUGUGAAAGCCCCCGGCUCAACCGGGGAGGGUCAUUGGAAACUGGGGAACUUGAGUGCAGAAGAGGAGAGUGGAAUUCCACGUGUAGCGGUGAAAUGCGUAGAGAUGUGGAGGAACACCAGUGGCGAAGGCGACUCUCUGGUCUGUAACUGACGCUGAGGCGCGAAAGCGUGGGGAGCGAACAGGAUUAGAUACCCUGGUAGUCCACGCCGUAAACGAUGAGUGCUAAGUGUUAGAGGGUUUCCGCCCUUUAGUGCUGCAGCAAACGCAUUAAGCACUCCGCCUGGGGAGUACGGUCGCAAGACUGAAACUCAAAGGAAUUGACGGGGGCCCGCACAAGCGGUGGAGCAUGUGGUUUAAUUCGAAGCAACGCGAAAAACCUUACCAGGUCUUGACAUCCUCUGACAACCCUAGAGAUAGGGCUUCCCCUUCGGGGGCAGAAUGACAGGGGUGCAUGGUUGUCUUCACCUCCUGUCGUGAGAUGUUGGGUUAAUUCCCGCAACAASCGCACCCUUGAUCUUAUUUG